RNAcentral lists this ribosomal RNA (847 nucleotides) under Glutamicibacter arilaitensis. RNAcentral describes it as "bacterial SSU rRNA". It matches the Rfam family "Bacterial small subunit ribosomal RNA", at positions 61 to 919 of the family's 1533-position model. The record is from RNAcentral. Lineage: Bacteria; Bacillati; Actinomycetota; Actinomycetes; Micrococcales; Micrococcaceae.
GUCGAACGAUGAAGCCCAGCUUGCUGGGUGGAUUAGUGGCGAACGGGUGAGUAACACGUGAGUAACCUGCCCCCGACUCUGGGAUAAGCCCGGGAAACUGGGUCUAAUACCGGAUAUUACCUCUUGCCGCAUGGCAGGUGGUGGAAAGAUUUAUCGGUGGGGGAUGGACUCGCGGCCUAUCAGCUUGUUGGUGAGGUAAUGGCUCACCAAGGCGACGACGGGUAGCCGGCCUGAGAGGGUGACCGGCCACACUGGGACUGAGACACGGCCCAGACUCCUACGGGAGGCAGCAGUGGGGAAUAUUGCACAAUGGGCGAAAGCCUGAUGCAGCGACGCCGCGUGAGGGAUGACGGCCUUCGGGUUGUAAACCUCUUUCAGUAGGGAAGAAGCGAAAGUGACGGUACCUGCAGAAGAAGCGCCGGCUAACUACGUGCCAGCAGCCGCGGUAAUACGUAGGGCGCAAGCGUUAUCCGGAUUUAUUGGGCGUAAAGAGCUCGUAGGCGGUUUGUCGCGUCUGCCGUGAAAGUCCGAGGCUCAACCUCGGAUCUGCGGUGGGUACGGGCAGACUAGAGUGAUGUAGGGGAGACUGGAAUUCCUGGUGUAGCGGUGAAAUGCGCAGAUAUCAGGAGGAACACCGAUGGCGAAGGCAGGUCUCUGGGCAUUUACUGACGCUGAGGAGCGAAAGCAUGGGGAGCGAACAGGAUUAGAUACCCUGGUAGUCCAUGCCGUAAACGUUGGGCACUAGGUGUGGGGGACAUUCCACGUUUUCCGCGCCGUAGCUAACGCAUUAAGUGCCCCGCCUGGGGAGUACGGCCGCAAGGCUAAAACUCAAAGGAAUUGACGGGGG